RNAcentral lists this ribosomal RNA (1317 nucleotides) under Vibrio vulnificus. RNAcentral describes it as "partial 23S ribosomal RNA". It matches the Rfam family "Bacterial large subunit ribosomal RNA", at positions 414 to 1736 of the family's 2925-position model. The record is from RNAcentral. Lineage: Bacteria; Pseudomonadati; Pseudomonadota; Gammaproteobacteria; Vibrionales; Vibrionaceae.
AGGGCGGGACACGUGUUAUCCUGUCUGAAUAUGGGGGGACCAUCCUCCAAGGCUAAAUACUCCUGACUGACCGAUAGUGAACCAGUACCGUGAGGGAAAGGCGAAAAGAACCCCUGUGAGGGGAGUGAAAUAGAACCUGAAACCGUGUACGUACAAGCAGUAGGAGCACCUUCGUGGUGUGACUGCGUACCUUUUGUAUAAUGGGUCAGCGACUUAUAUUCAGUGGCAAGGUUAACCAUCUAGGGGAGCCGUAGGGAAACCGAGUCUUAACUGGGCGCCAUAGUCUCUGGAUAUAGACCCGAAACCGAGUGAUCUAGCCAUGGGCAGGUUGAAGGUUGAGUAACAUCAACUGGAGGACCGAACCGACUAAUGUUGAAAAAUUAGCGGAUGACUUGUGGCUAGGGGUGAAAGGCCAAUCAAACUCGGAGAUAGCUGGUUCUCCCCGAAAGCUAUUUAGGUAGCGCCUCGGACGAAUACUACUGGGGGUAGAGCACUGUUAAGGCUAGGGGGUCAUCCCGACUUACCAACCCUUUGCAAACUCCGAAUACCAGUAAGUACUAUCCGGGAGACACACGGCGGGUGCUAACGUCCGUCGUGGAGAGGGAAACAACCCAGACCGCCAGCUAAGGUCCCAAAUUACAGCUAAGUGGGAAACGAUGUGGGAAGGCUUAGACAGCUAGGAUGUUGGCUUAGAAGCAGCCAUCAUUUAAAGAAAGCGUAAUAGCUCACUAGUCGAGUCGGCCUGCGCGGAAGAUGUAACGGGGCUAAGUUGUAAACCGAAGCUGCGGCAAUAUCUUUUAGAUAUUGGGUAGGGGAGCGUUCUGUAAGCCGUUGAAGGUGUGUUGUAAAGCAUGCUGGAGGUAUCAGAAGUGCGAAUGCUGACAUGAGUAACGACAAGGGGGGUGAAAAACCUCCCCGCCGGAAGACCAAGGGUUCCUGUCCAACGUUAAUCGGGGCAGGGUAAGUCGACCCCUAAGGCGAGGCCGAAAGGCGUAGUCGAUGGGAAACGGGUUAAUAUUCCCGUACUUCUUACAAUUGCGAUGGGGGGACGGAGAAGGCUAGGUGGGCCUGGCGACGGUUGUCCAGGUUCAAGUGCGUAGGCUGAGUGUUUAGGUAAAUCCGGACACUCUUAAGGCUGAGACACGACGUCGAGCUACUACGGUAGUGAAGUCAUUGAUGCCAUGCUUCCAGGAAAAGCCUCUAAGCUUCAGAUUGUAAGGAAUCGUACCCCAAACCGACACAGGUGGUCGGGUAGAGAAUACCAAGGCGCUUGAGAGAACUCGGGUGAAGGAACUAGGCAAAAUGGUACCGUAACUU